CCUACGGGAGGCAGCAGUGGGGAAUAUUCCACAAUGGGCGAAAGCCUGAUGGAGCGACGCCGCGUGAGUGAAGAAGGGCUUCGGCUCGUAAAGCUCUUUUCUAGAGGACGAAUGGCGCAUUGGAUGCGCAGGGACGGUACUCUGGGAAUAAGCCACGGCUAACUACGUGCCAGCAGCCGCGGUAAU
Molecule: ribosomal RNA, 186 nt
Filed under: uncultured bacterium
Lineage: Bacteria
Description: partial 16S ribosomal RNA
Rfam family: Bacterial small subunit ribosomal RNA
Source: RNAcentral